AACCCGCGAACUGCAGCACCUUGGAUCGGGAGACGAGUGUCCUGACAGUUGAGCUAAAAGCCCAGUAUAAAUCUAUCUGUCCUCUAACUUUCCAACAGAAUUCCAAUCUCACAUAUGUGACAAGGGGGUGAAAAGAGGAAAAGACAUUUUUUUUAUAUGUGAGGCAAAUACAGACCAAUUGGAUACCAUGUGGGAGAAGGAUGGGCAAAUGCUAUAUGAUAGUGACCGUGUCAGCAUUAUCCAGAAGGGGAAGGUCUUGAGUCUCACGAUAAGCAAAGCCAAGGAAGAGAAUGAAGGGAAAUACACAAUAACCCUGAGGAAUAAUAAAGGCACCGCCUCAGAGUCCGCUUCAGUCUCUCUACUCCAGUUUGACCGUGAUUGGAGGACUAUUAAUUGGGGUUUAAUUCAUUCCCACUACCUGAAGAAUACGCAUGCUACAACAGUAACCCUACCCUGGAUGAUAAGAUUCACUGUCUGGUCAGUGUUCUCUCAGCAAACAGCGUCCAUCUGAUGGAAGACAGAAAAAAUGAUGAAGUUAUUAACAAAAUGCGAAAUGUCAGAGAGCAUGCUAGUAAAAUAGGCAUCCCACAAGUGGUCCUCAUGACACAUGUGGACUUGGCUUGUCCGCUUGUGAAGGAAAGCUUGCAGAACACCUACUCCAGCAAGGUCAUUAAGAGGAGAAUGCAAGAGUGCAGAAACAAGUUGGGUGUUCCCAUGAACUGCAUAUUCCCAGUGAAGAACUACGACGAGGAGAUAGAUCUAGAUGAUAAUGUGAACUCUUUGAUUCUGAAUGCCCUAAAG
This is a long non-coding RNA of Alosa sapidissima (American shad), 801 nucleotides long. RefSeq lists it as uncharacterized. The transcript is spliced from 6 exons. The record is from RefSeq and is a predicted model, not a curated record. Lineage: Eukaryota; Metazoa; Chordata; Actinopteri; Clupeiformes; Clupeidae.